This 141-nucleotide ribosomal RNA is filed under the name uncultured bacterium. Its description in RNAcentral is "partial 16S rRNA". It matches the Rfam family "Bacterial small subunit ribosomal RNA", at positions 355 to 511 of the family's 1533-position model. The record is from RNAcentral.
UGGGGAAUUUUCCGCAAUGGGCGAAAGCCUGACGGAGCAAUGCCGCGUGGAGGUGGAAGGCCUACGGGUCGUCAACUUCUUUUCUCGGAGAAGAAACAAUGACGGUAUCUGAGGAAUAAGCAUCGGCUGACUCUGUGCUAG